RNAcentral lists this ribosomal RNA (260 nucleotides) under uncultured bacterium. RNAcentral's name for it is "partial 16S ribosomal RNA". It matches the Rfam family "Bacterial small subunit ribosomal RNA", at positions 523 to 776 of the family's 1533-position model. The record is from RNAcentral.
UGACGUAGGGGUGCGAGCGUUGUCCGGAAUUACUGGGACGUAAAGCGUGCGCAGGCGGUUCGUUGUGUCGGCGGUGAAAGCCCCGGGCUCAAGCCUCGGGAACUGGCAAUGGAUACUGCGAGGCUAGAGUGCGGUAGAGGGUAGUGGAAUUCCCGGUGUAGCGGUGAAAUGCGCAGAUAUCGGGAAGAACACCCGUGGCGAAGGCGGCUCUCUGGGAGCGGUACUGACGCUGAGACGCGAAAGCGUGGGGAGCGAACAGG